CUGAGGACCAGGUGCUGAGGACCAAGUGUUGAGGACUCUGACUGCCUGUGGUCCUUCCAUUGGGAGCGUCUUAACUAAGCAGCAGGAGAGGAGGCCUCUCCAGGAAGGGCCAGCCAGGACCAGAGGGAGCUGGCCGGUGGGCAACAAGCUAGGGAGGGAUGCCCCUCACCCUCCAUGGACUUGCCUCCCCUCCAGGUGGUCUCUGCGUGGCAGCCCGAGUGCUCUCUUACAGAGCAAAUGAGCCCGUCUCUGUGGUGACGGGUCCUGUGACGUUCCCCAUUGCUGCUGGGAAGGACCAGGUGCUGAUUUCCUGCUGACCCCAUGGCCUGUGGAUGAGGCCCGGAGGCCCCCCAGCUUCCUGGAGCUACAGGUCCUGUGCCUCUCGGGAGCACCUUCCAGCCCUCCGGACGGUCUCCCCACCGCUAAGUCCAAGAGCUCUCCUGGCGGCACGAGGUCCCAACGCUUACUGACCAGUGCGCCCCCGAAUUACCUGCCCCUGCGCCUCGGGCAGCGACGUCCUGCCCGUGUGCGGGCCCAGGUGCGGCUCCCCGCCGUGUGCGCCUGUGUUCCUGAGAGCGACCUGGAUGCUGACCACAGGCCCUGCUGACCGCACCCCUGGGGAUGCUCAGCAGAAUCGGCUUCUGGGAGAAGGUGAGAAGCCAGGCCGCUGGGUCCCCGCCAGGCUGGCCGCCCUCGGGCAGAAUGAGGGACGUGGUGCCCCCUCAGCCCUCGGUGUAUGGGCUGAAAUCCUGGAGACCCGGACAGUGGCAGAAGUGGGCGUGAGAGAGGGAGG
This is a long non-coding RNA of Nyctereutes procyonoides (raccoon dog), 793 nucleotides long. RefSeq lists it as uncharacterized. The record is from RefSeq and is a predicted model, not a curated record. The transcript has 4 exons. Lineage: Eukaryota; Metazoa; Chordata; Mammalia; Carnivora; Canidae.